RNAcentral lists this ribosomal RNA (401 nucleotides) under uncultured bacterium. RNAcentral's name for it is "bacterial SSU rRNA". It matches the Rfam family "Bacterial small subunit ribosomal RNA", at positions 362 to 775 of the family's 1533-position model. The record is from RNAcentral.
UAUUGCACAAUGGGCGAAAGCCUGAUGCAGCAACGCCGCGUGAGGGACGACGGCCUUCGGGUUGUAAACCUCUUUUGGCAGGGAAGAAGCGAAAGUGACGGUACCUGCAGAAAAAGCACCGGCUAACUACGUGCCAGCAGCCGCGGUAAUACGUAGGGUGCAAGCGUUAUCCGGAAUUAUUGGGCGUAAAGAGCUCGUAGGCGGUCUGUCGCGUCUGCUGUGAAAACCGGAGGCUCAACCUCCGGCCUGCAGUGGGUACGGGCAGGCUUGAGUGCGGUAGGGGAGACUGGAAUUCCUGGUGUAGCGGUGGAAUGCGCAGAUAUCAGGAGGAACACCGAUGGCGAAGGCAGGUCUCUGGGCCGUAACUGACGCUGAGGAGCGAAAGCGUGGGGAGCGAACAG